This is a long non-coding RNA of Gigantopelta aegis, 5166 nucleotides long. RefSeq lists it as uncharacterized. The transcript is spliced from 2 exons. The record is from RefSeq and is a predicted model, not a curated record. Lineage: Eukaryota; Metazoa; Mollusca; Gastropoda; Neomphalida; Peltospiridae.
UCAACAGGGGUGAUGAUGGUGUGUUCGUUUCGAUAUUUUCCGUUAAGUUACGAAAAUGGCCGAAAACGUUGCCACAAACACGUCAACAGUCCUUUGACGUGACGUCAACAAUGCUUUAAUGUUUUAAUGUGCGAACAGAAUCGCCGUGUGUCAUUUUAUAAUCACAUUUAUUUGCAUGUAGCCUACAUAAAUGUGAAAUAUCUGUGCCUGGAUCUACUACUGCCUAAUAACGACAGCUAACUACUGUACUGAUCUGUUGCGAAAAGGUGGGGUGGGGUGGGGGGGGGGGGGGGGGGGGGGGUGGAGGCCCGCGUUAUCCCACUUCCUUCUUUCCUUUCUCUCCUUUCAAUUCCAUCUCAUUUCUUCCCGAUCUGACAACUCCCCCUAUCUAUCAUCUUCUUUCGCUGUCCACUUCCACACCCCAGUCCUUUUCUCUCCAACCGCGACAUGUGCUUGCCUCUUAUGGCUAUCCGUGCCACACACCUGUCAUUUCCCAUCAACUUUAGCGGUGGGCUUAGUCUGGCCACUUCGGAGAGUAUUCAGUAGUUACUUCUGGCAUUGUUAAGAGAUACUUCUUACCACCUACUAUUCUCCCCUACUACCGGCGGUCGUUAGUGCCGUGGGUCAGACCAGCUUUAUUAGUGCCAGGUGGGUGCAGGGAGGUACACAGAGACUGCACCCGUAGAGGAAGUUGAAACAGGUAGGUGUUGGUGUGGACAGCUCAGAAGACAGGAGGAAACUGACAGAAUGGGUCGAAACAGAUUGAAAUUGUGGGAGAAAAUGGUAAGGUUUUUUAAUAUUAAGUUAAUGAGAACGAUGGGCAGAUGGUUAUAGAUGGGAAAGAUGAAUGGAAGUGUGAGCCAGCUUUGACUGGAUUUGAACCACUGUCGUCAGCUUGAUUGUCCAGCAGCUUAUCCACUAGACCACGGAGCUCACUUAGCAGUAUAGAGUUAGCGAAAAGAGUUUGCUUGUUCUUUUUGUACAAAUCCAUGUUUUAAGACUCAUUAUAAGGAAUAUUAAAUACAUUCUUAACCAUAGUGAUAGCAUAGUUAUUUUAAAAAUUACAUUUGUUUUUUUCCUCAGGUGUGCAACCUGUUUGGUUGUAACGAGGCCCUGUAUUCAAACCCUUUUAAAAAUAACAAAACUAACAGAAACUGAUUCAGGCUCGAGUUCAACACACGCAUUCGCAUAUAUAGGGUCAGUAUAUACAAGCAGAACACACUGACUUAGGCCUACGGGACCGCACAGAUUGAAAGAAAGUAUUGAGACGUGUCCAUAAGAAACAACAACAGGCAGUGAUCAAUAAUACAAAUAUAUAUUUUUAUGAUCAAGGAUUUAAAAGAAAACAGAGAAAAUAGUGACGAAGAGGGAAGAGAAUUAGAAGGAAGAAGAUUUUGAAGAAGACUACAACGGAGAUAAAUGGAAUACGGAAAAAUAGUAACUUGUUCUGAAUUAUAUAAAACCUGAAACCCUGCUAUCUCAAAACAAGCCAUACACUAAAUUAGUCUUAAUACAUAUGGCUAUAAAACUAAUCUGUAUACAGCUAAUUUCUAUAAUAACAAUAUAAUUAUAUAUAUAUAUAUACAUAUAAACAUUUAGUGAAAUAUCUUAAAAUAUCAGUGAAAUAAAACUGUUAUCAGUCACUCAAGGCUGGUUUAUACUUCAGUACGAUCUGACAUCGUAUCGAACGCAUAGGUCGCAAGGAGAUCUGAAUGUCAUCGUACUGAACGCAUUGAAAUCGGACAUGUGUUGGCUACGAUAACAAUUAUACGCACGGGAUGCAAUCGCAUGCAUAUCGGACCAUUUAACUUUGAGUUAUUUCAUGCGAUAAAUAAAUGCGAUGGCGGGCCAGAAGCGACAAAGAAAAACAGGUCUUUUUAGUGCUGCAGAUGAUGAGCAACUUAUAGAAUAAGUUAGAAAGUAUCCUAAUCUGUAUGAUACGUCUAUGCGGGAAUACAGAGACACAGAAAGAGCCGAUAAUUGUUGGGAGAAAAUAGAGCAGGCGACUGGAAUAGCCGCUAAUGAUUUGAAAUCAAGAUGGAGAAAUCUGAGGGACGUCUUCGCCAGAGAGAAGAAGAAAAUGUCGGGAAGAAGUGGUGAUCCAGGGGGCCAAAAGUUGGAAGUAUUUCCAAUUAAUGUUAUUUCUAUCGCCCUUUAUCAAACAUCGUGACAUCGAAAGUAACGUGCCGAGAAUGGCUGAAGAUGACGAACGGGCCGACGAAAUAGAUGUACAAGAUGUCACCCAACAAUCUGGUGGUGAUACGGAAAACGUCGCCGAUGUCUGCAAUGAACUCGAUGAGCGAAAAAACGUGACUGGUACAAAUGACAUGUCACGUUCAACGACACCGGUGGAAACAGAAGAGAUGUCCAAACACAAGUGCAAAAAACUGAGGAAAACCAAGCCGCCAUCGGACCCAGUAGACGAUGCCAUCCUGAACUUUGUACAAGACAGGUCCCAAGCGUAUGUCGAUAACGACAAAGAUCCAGAAGUAAUGUUUGAAAAAAUGGUAGCUACAUCCCUUGCGUAAUUUUUCAAGGCAGACCAGAGGACUUGCGAAGCUAAAGAUCCAACAGGUCCUGUAUGAAAUGGACCAGAAAGAUCAGGAAACUACACCAGCAACAACAACUAUGCCUAGCUCAAGUGCGUAUCCUGAUGACCAUCACUAUCAACCAAACGUUCCCUGGGUUCCUCCGCAGGAAUCCACGUCAUUCCAUCAGUACUCACAAUAUUAGAACAACUCAUUUUAUUUAAUUAAAUUUUACUGAUUCCAAAAACACUUUGGUGUAUACGUAUGGACUAAUAUAAGACUGUCCGUUUAAAGUUGGAUGUAUUACACAAUGAAAAUAAACAUGUGAAACAUGGCCUAAUGUUAUGGGUUUUUUUUAAUUUGUUGCUCAUAAUAACAAAACAAAACAUUCACAUUUAUUUCAUAAGUACUAAUACUUUCAAUAUAUUCUAUAAUUAUACUAAUCCGAUUCGAGAUAGACAGAUCUUUUAUUUAACGACACACUCAACACAUUUUAUUUUCGGUUAUAUGGCGUCACAUGGUUAAGGAUAAUCUGAGAGUGACAAAGAAAAACUGCUGCCGCCACAUGGGCUACUCUUUCCGAUUAUGCACCAUUCCACAAAUAGGAUAGCGCAUACCACGACCGUUAUAACACAAGUGGUGGAGCACUGCUGACCUACCGCACCAGUUUUCGAAGCUAAGAAUCGUUAAAUUGUCGUAACUGAUGACGUCACAACGUAAUUUGAUAUAUAACGUCAUCACUUAAAAGAGUUUUACGUAAUCGUAGCGCUAAGAGCUUUGAAAAAUACACCCAGGGCAGGAUCGGACGCUCUACCGCUGAGGUACGUCCCGCUUAGUUCGAUUCACUGCCACUUUCAUGUGGUAAUGUUCUGUCAACAACAUUGUCCUGCCAAGGUAUACUUCCAUGAUUCGUCUGAAAAUAAGUCACGAAGUGGUCCCGAAUCCUGCUGGCCUCCCUUGAUGCCGUGUUAGCACCCAGUCUUCCUACUGGCAGUAAGUUUGUGUCAUUACGUGUCAUCUCUCGCCAUUCUCCAGGACGUAAGCUGCCAUCUUCACCCACAUUAUCGACAAACUGUAGAUGUACGUAUCCAUCUGCUGGAACUGUGGCUGCGUCGCUAGAUUUCAGAUAGUUGUGAAGUGCAACAGUUGCCGUAACAAUAUCAUCAACGUUGGGUGGUAAAGCUUCAAUCGGUUUCUGAAAGAUGCGCCACCUUGCUGCUAAUAUCCCGAAACCAUUUUCCGAUAUCCUGCGAGCCCUCGAAAGUCGGUAGUUGAAUAUUCUCUGGCCCCUUGGUAUAUUGUGCCCUGGAAAGGUAAAAUGUAAUUGGAAUCACUAACUCCCUGUGUGAAAUGUCGUAUAUAUAAUAUAAAUGUAAUAUCUGGUUUAUUAUUAUUAUGCUAUUUGAUUUGAACCUUUUCUUAGAAGCGAACUACUUACCUGGAUACGAUCUCACCAUGUGGGUCUGCAAUGGGAACGCCCCAUCACCAACAAACACGUAUGGGCAAGUCUCUUGGGAUCCUGGAUGGACAGCUUGAUCUGGGAUGUCUAAAGUACCACUUUGCAGUCGUCGUCCAAAAUGUGUACGGCCAAAAAUACCACUAUCACAUUCUCGACCAUACGCACCAACGUCGAUUAUAGAGAACUUAUAUCUUGCAUCCACUACAGCCAUGAGGAUUAUGGAGAAACACUUCUUGUAGUUAAAGAAGUCACUUCCUGACAUGGGCAAUGCGUUUAUUAUCACGUGCUUGCCAUCUAUAGCGCCCAGGCAAAGCGGAAAAUUCCAGUACAACCAGAAAUCGGCUGCUAUUUGUGUCCACUGUUCUUGGGAAGGAAAUGGAACACUUCAUGUUUUAAAGCUUCCCAAAUGGCGACGCAUGUUUCGUGGAACGCUUUGUUUACCGUGGCCUUUCCUAACCGGUAACUGUCUGCUACACUCUGCUGUGAAUUGCCACUUGCAAGUAUUCGAAGGGUCAACGAAAGUCGUUCCGCUGCCGAUACUGGAACGCUGUGUGUAAUAAGUGGUGCUACUCUAUUCAGCAAAUCAUCAAAUCUAUCCAUCGCCAUACGAAAGUAUCUGAAGUGUACUUGGUUAUCUUGUAAAAUACGCAUGUCUCGGACUAGAGAAUGGAACUCCCCAUUGUAUGGUCUAGUUCUGUUAAGUGGACGAAUAUACCACUCCCUCCUCUGCUCGUCUCUUUUGUUGCGCUUUCACCUCCGAAGAAAAUGUAUGAGCAAGACGUCAUCCAUCUUGAAAGUACCAAACGCAAAUAGGCGAUCGCAUGCACUUGAAAAGUAUAAAUGCCUCUCCGAUAUUUAUCGUAAGAAUCGCGGCUAUUCGCAAACCAAACGGUUCAACGGACGUAUGAACUAGUCCUUUGAAUACGAUAUAUAUCGGAUGAAAUUCAUACGAUCACAGAUAGUACUGAAGUAUAAACCAGCCUUCAGUGACGAUAACACAUUUUAGAGUGACUGUAAGAAAACCGGAACUAUUUUCAUCCCGACCCCACCCAUCCCUGAAACAGACUUUGCUCCCUUUUAUUGUUUGUGUUGAUUUCUGCUUCAAGAAAAAUAGUUGAAAUAGUAGUACAACUCUUUUUAAAUUUCACUUCCAUGUGAUAAAUAAAAUAUCCAAUAACU